This 253-nucleotide ribosomal RNA is filed under the name uncultured bacterium. Its description in RNAcentral is "partial 16S ribosomal RNA". It matches the Rfam family "Bacterial small subunit ribosomal RNA", at positions 524 to 776 of the family's 1533-position model. The record is from RNAcentral.
UACGGGGGGAGCAAGCGUUGUUCGGAUUUACUGGGCGUAAAGUGUGCGCAGGCGGCUUCGCAAGUCGAGUGUGAAAUCCCCGAGCUUAACUUGGGAAUUGCGCUCGAAACUACGGAGCUGGAGUGUGGCAGAGGAAGGUGGAAUUCCACGUGUAGCGGUGAAAUGCGUAGAGAUGUGGAGGAACACCGAUGGCGAAGGCAGCCUUCUGGGCCAACACUGACGCUCAUGCACGAAAGCGUGGGGAGCAAACAGG